AGUGAGUGGCGAACGGGUGAGUAACACGUGGACAACCUGCCUCAAGGCUGGGGAUAACAUUUGGAAACAGAUGCUAAUACCGAAUAAAACUUAGUGUCGCAUGACAAAAAGUUAAAAGGCGCUUCGGCGUCACCUAGAGAUGGAUCCGCGGUGCAUUAGUUAGUUGGUGGGGUAAAGGCCUACCAAGACAAUGAUGCAUAGCCGAGUUGAGAGACUGAUCGGCCACAUUGGGACUGAGACACGGCCCAAACUCCUACGGGAGGCUGCAGUAGGGAAUCUUCCACAAUGGGCGAAAGCCUGAUGGAGCAACGCCGCGUGUGUGAUGAAGGCUUUCGGGUCGUAAAGCACUGUUGUAUGGGAAGAACAGCUAGAAUAGGAAAUGAUUUUAGUUUGACGGUACCAUACCAGAAAGGGACGGCUAAAUACGUGCCAGCAGCCGCGGUAAUACGUAUGUCCCGAGCGUUAUCCGGAUUUAUUGGGCGUAAAGCGAGCGCAGACGGUUUAUUAAGUCUGAUGUGAAAGCCCGGAGCUCAACUCCGGAAUGGCAUUGGAAACUGGUUAACUUGAGUGCAGUAGAGGUAAGUGGAACUCCAUGUGUAGCGGUGGAAUGCGUAGAUAUAUGGAAGAACACCAGUGGCGAAGGCGGCUUACUGGACUGCAACUGACGUUGAGGCUCGAAAGUGUGGGUAGCAAACAGGAUUAGAUA
RNAcentral lists this ribosomal RNA (706 nucleotides) under Leuconostoc mesenteroides. RNAcentral describes it as "bacterial SSU rRNA". It matches the Rfam family "Bacterial small subunit ribosomal RNA", at positions 90 to 784 of the family's 1533-position model. The record is from RNAcentral. Lineage: Bacteria; Bacillati; Bacillota; Bacilli; Lactobacillales; Lactobacillaceae.